UGAAGAGAUAAAAUCAUUUCCUAUAUGAUUCAUUCAAUCCAUAUAGAGGGUGGAAAGUAUGGAAAAAUUUAUUAAGUUUGUUUAUGUUAUGUUCAUAUAUUUUUCUCUCCUUAUUUUUACACCCAUCGUCAAUGCUGGAGGUAUUAAGUGUGAAACUGUUGCUGAUUGUCCAAAUAAUUUGUGUGCGCGUGGUUUAACACCAAAGUGUUAUUUUUCCCGUUGUAUAUGUGUUUGAAUAACUACUCAUAUGAUAUGAAUGACAAACCCAAUAAAGUACAAAAAAAUUAAUAUUGUGUUAGAAUAUUCAAUGAGUUGGCCCCUAAUAAUUUAAUUUAAUUUUAGAUAUCUUGCUUUGAAUUUGUACCUUGAGGUUAUAUUAAUAAUGUGAAUUGAGGCAUAAAAAUAUAAUACAGAUUGUUUCCUUCUCUCAUAAUUUUAAAUAUAUCUAUAUAACCUUGAACCUUUUCAUAUUGAAAACUUGAAUUUUCAAAUCAAGUGAUUACAAUGGAUCCUGUACAUACUUCUCCCAUUUCAAAAUCAUAUUGUAAUUGUAGAGACAACAAUCAUACUUCUAAUUCGAUGGUUUAUUCAAACUGCAAAUGACGAUAGACACCUUAUUUUCGAGGUGGGGUUUUUUCGGGGUUUGAUGGGCCACCACGAUUACAAAUUUCGGAAAAAAAAAUGUCGGAUUGUCCAUACUAUAGUAUUAUGUUUUUUCAGAAAUUCAACAAGGAUUUACUCUUUUGAAUGUGAUGUAGAAUAAAUUUUCAAAGGAAGAUCAUUCAUAAUCAAAACCUUUCAAAACAUUCAAAAGUACAUCUAUUAAAUUGAGUGAUCAUUUUACAACAUCCAUUAACAACAAUGCUCAAAUAACAUCCAAUAUGAUUUCCAAACCAACAUUCAAAAGCAACAACCUAACAAAAUAACAACCUAUACAAAAUACUAAAUUUUCUUCUUUUUGGAAUUUCAUUUUUUAUUAGUGUUUUCUUCUUAGUUGGUAUUUUCUUUUGAAUAGAUGCACUUUGCUAAAAUGAUUGUGAAAUACUAAGUAUUGUUUAGGUCAUACACUUAGCCUUAGUUUGUAGAUUUUGUUGAUUGGAGAUAAAUGUCUAUAUGUGAUAAUAAUGACUAAUACCUCCAAAAUCAUCAAUUA
RNA transcript from Vicia villosa (hairy vetch), 1153 nucleotides. RefSeq lists it as uncharacterized. The record is from RefSeq and is a predicted model, not a curated record. Lineage: Eukaryota; Viridiplantae; Streptophyta; Magnoliopsida; Fabales; Fabaceae. The transcript has 3 exons.